CCAGAUCCCUGGAAGCAUCCAACAUUUCCUGUAGAGAGCAAGACCAGAGUCAUUACAGCACUGGCCAGGGAUGCAGGCAGUCUGAAGCAAACAUUCAAACAAAACAGUCAGCAUCGGCAGAGAGAUUUACACGGCAUGCUUGAUUUAGGAUGUCAGAUUCCCAACUGCUAUGGGGCUGAGAUGAAGUGGAUGGCCUGGGGCAAUGUCAACAUUGGGGCUUUGGCCCCUCUCAACCCACUUGUGUGAGAGGGAGAGACCAUGACCAAGUCCAGGAAACAGCUGCGGAAAAGAGUGUAAUCCCAGGCUCGGAGGUAAACCUGAGCCGCACCCAAGGAGGCUUUGAGAUUGCAUUUUGGUUAGGUCUUCAAUUUCUGGAUUUGCCAGGGUACAAAGGACACCCUCCAGGUAUUGAUCUUUCUGUGGCAGAGAAGAAAAAGGAGAAGCACGGCUACAUUUGUGAAAGGCAACAAGAUGGAGAAGCCAUGGAAUUCAUGAAGGAGCCGUGUGAAUGAUGCAAGAGUAAUGCCAUGUCACUGCUAAUACAGGAAGAGGAAAGACGUGUCUGUGUGGAGCAGCUCCCUGAAGCGCUGUGAAUGACUGCUGGCAGAUGGGCUACAUGACUGGGCCAGACUGGGCCAGAUGCAUUGGGAACAGGAAGACCCAGCGAGCCGGGUUUUAGAUUUGAGAUCACUUGAUGCAUCAGUCAGUGUCCUAUAAAAAUGUUAAUCACCGUCUGGACCACUGCUAUAAAUGUUUAUACGAGAGGUGAGCAUAUUUAGCGUGAUCUUGACAUGAACUUCUGCUACGAAUUCUUGCUCUGAAUAAAUGUUUCCUCAGAGUCAUGUGGCAUGAGCUCACUUUUUUGACUAUAAUCUCCAUUGAUAUUAUUAUUACUAUUCAAAUUUGGUUAUUAAAUUAGAAGUUAGAAAAUAAAUAAUAAGAGGAAUAUGUUUUGUUAAAUAAGAAGUAAAACUAUUAAUACUUGUAUUAUCAUCAUGUUAUUAUUUUAUUAUUUUGUUAUUUUAUUAAUAAUAAAACAUGAUUGUUAAAUUGUUAUUAUUAUUAUUAUUAUUAUUAUUAUUAUUAUUAUUAUUAUUAUUAUUAUUUAAUAAAAUACUAUUUCAAAAUAAUAAUAAUAAUAAUAAUAAAUUGCUGUUAAAUUAGAAGAUACAAAUUAUUAUUAUUAUUAUUAUUAUUAUUAUUAUUAUGUUUGUUAAAAUAUAAUAAUAUGAGUAAAUAUUCUGGAAUAACAUAGUGGUGAGCAAAUAAUGACGUAGCAGUUAUUAUUAAUAACAAUUAUUUCAUUUUAGGUGAACUACUCCUUUAAGAGAUUUGACUGUUAUCCCGACAGAAUCUACAUUCAUGUGAAGCCAGGGCUUAUGGGAUAUUACAUUGGAAACUUUAUAUGAUACUGAUAUCAGGGAUAUUUACAAAGGUUAUCUUUCUGUAUUUAUGUUGGCUAAAGUUUGUACAAUCAGCUGUGGAACAAAGCCUGCAUUUGGACUGAUAUGAUUGAACAGAUAAUCUUGACACCACAGUGAUGUUAUCUGAUACAUAUGGAGCCUUUAUGCCACAUGCAUUCACACAAGGGCAUCAUGUCCUUUAAAAGAGUUACCACUGAAAACUGGGCAAUACUUUACAUUACAAUAAUUAUAGUCAACAUAUUAUAAAAUUGAAUUAUUAUUACAAUGUAAUAACAAUGUAAUUACAUGUUAAUUACACACAGUUUCACUUUUAACAUACUAAUUUAAAGCAGGACCACAAACUGUUUAUUUAAUAUUCAAAUUUACUUAUUAAGCGCAUGUUUGGUGAGAUUAAUGACAAAAGGCUAACCAGAUAAUGGCGGCUCCAGUUCUGCUGACCAUAGGAAGCAAUAUUUGAUAAGCAGUUCUGUUCAAAGACCGUCAAGAUGAGAUACAGCAUCAUGUGUAACACUGCUAGAAUUCAACAGAGCUGGGAAUCACCGUAUCAAGUGCGGCUCCUUGUGCAUGUGGGAUAUCUUUAAUGGAGAUGUAUGUGCAGUGAUGUGUGUCUCUCUUGGCUGGUCGGUUUCAUGAGCAAAGGCAGAGAGACAGAGAUAAGAGAAGCUGAGAGAAGCACAACAGCAUGACCUCACUAUUAGAGAUAAGAGUGCAGUGAAAGAGCCAGAAGAGCUGCACUGCUGACAGACGUCAGGCCAAAGGUUCACAUCUCCCAAAACAAGCUACAAAUUGGUAUUCCACUACUUUAGCUAUAAAGGCA
Molecule: long non-coding RNA, 2241 nt
Organism: Cyprinus carpio carpio
Lineage: Eukaryota; Metazoa; Chordata; Actinopteri; Cypriniformes; Cyprinidae
Source: Ensembl